GAUCCUGGCUCAGGAUGAACGCUAGCUACAGGCUUAACACAUGCAAGUCGAGGGGCAUCAGUUUGGUUUGCUUGCAAACCAAAGCUGGCGACCGGCGCACGGGUGAGUAACACGUAUCCAACCUGCCUCAUACUCGGGGAUAGCCUUUCGAAAGAAAGAUUAAUAUCCGAUAGCAUAUAUUUCCCGCAUGGGUUUUAUAUUAAAGAAAUUUCGGUAUGAGAUGGGGAUGGCGUUCCAUUAGUUUGUUGGG
RNAcentral lists this ribosomal RNA (250 nucleotides) under uncultured bacterium. RNAcentral's name for it is "partial 16S ribosomal RNA". It matches the Rfam family "Bacterial small subunit ribosomal RNA", at positions 15 to 253 of the family's 1533-position model. The record is from RNAcentral.